Molecule: ribosomal RNA, 468 nt
Filed under: uncultured bacterium
Lineage: Bacteria
Description: partial 16S ribosomal RNA
Rfam family: Bacterial small subunit ribosomal RNA
Source: RNAcentral
GACGAACGCUGGCGGCGUGCUUAACACAUGCAAGUCGAACGGAAAGGCCCUGCUUUUGUGGGGUGCUCGAGUGGCGAACGGGUGAGUAACACGUGAGUAACCUGCCCUUGACUUUGGGAUAACUUCAGGAAACUGGGGCUAAUACCGGAUAGGAGCUCCUGCUGCAUGGUGGGGGUUGGAAAGUUUCGGCGGUUGGGGAUGGGCUCGCGGCUUAUCAGCUUGUUGGUGGGGUAGUGGCUUACCAAGGCUUUGACGGGUAGCCGGCCUGAGAGGGUGACCGGCCACAUUGGGACUGAGAUACGGCCCAGACUCCUACGGGAGGCAGCAGUGGGGAAUCUUGCACAAUGGGCGGAAGCCUGAUGCAGCAACGCCGCGUGCGGGAUGACGGCCUUCGGGUUGUAAACCGCUUUCGCCUGUGACGAAGCGUGAGUGACGGUAAUGGGUAAAGAAGCACCGGCUAACUACGUG